GAUGAACGCUGGCGGCGUGCCUAAUACAUGCAAGUCGAGCGAACAGACGAGGAGCUUGCUCCUCUGACGUUAGCGGCGGACGGGUGAGUAACACGUGGAUAACCUACCUAUAAGACUGGGAUAACUUCGGGAAACCGGAGCUAAUACCGGAUAAUAUAUUGAACCGCAUGGUUCAAUAGUGAAAGACGGUUUUGCUGUCACUUAUAGAUGGAUCCGCGCCGCAUUAGCUAGUUGGUAAGGUAACGGCUUACCAAGGCAACGAUGCGUAGCCGACCUGAGAGGGUGGUAGGCCACACGGGAGCGGGGCCGCGGACCAGGGGACUGCGGGAGGGAGCAGAAGCGAAUGUGCGGCAAUGGUCGAAAGCUUGACAGAGUGGGGGGAAGUGAGAGACAAAGGCGUUGGGUUCGUAAUGACGUCCUAUGGGUGAAGAACAAAUGUGGAAUUAACUAUGGCGGGCUUGACGGUACCGUAUCAGAAAGCAACGGCUAACUACGUG
This 497-nucleotide ribosomal RNA is filed under the name uncultured bacterium. Its description in RNAcentral is "partial 16S ribosomal RNA". It matches the Rfam family "Bacterial small subunit ribosomal RNA", at positions 28 to 507 of the family's 1533-position model. The record is from RNAcentral.